UGAGGCGGAAGUCAGAAGAGGCUACUUCCGGCCACGCCCACAAGCUGCCCCCCACCCCCACCCCCAGGACAACAGCAGAAGCAGAACUCUAGCAGUUCUCUGUUUGGGGGACAGAAGGUGCUGGGCUACCUCCUCUCUGCUAACUUGAGGGCAACCCAUCAGCAGUGAAAAGGAAUGAAAUUCAGAUAACACAUCACAACACGGAUGAAUUCCACAACCGUAAUAUUGAGGGAAACAAACCAGAAACAAAGGAAUGCACAUGUAAAGGUACUACUCUUGGCUGGGUGAGCACAUGGAGACCUUAGUUAGCCACAUAAUGAGAAAAAGAGGCACCUCAGAGUUGACACUUAAGCAAGAGCAAAUCUUCCCCCUGACCCCAUGAGCAUGCACACCAUUAUUAACAAGGAAACUAGCUUAUUUUUUGCACCAAAGAUUGAUGGGGAAGAUGCAAUGAGGGCAGUGAGGCAAAAUAUAUGGAGAAUCACUAAGGGAUUUUUGCUGUAGAUGAACCAAAGGAUGCUGAGCUCCUGAACCUAAGCUGUAGUGCUAGAUAUAAAGAGAAGAGAAUGGAUUCAAGAAAUAGCUAAGAGAAAAAUAA
This is a non-coding RNA of Microcebus murinus (gray mouse lemur), 598 nucleotides long. The record is from RefSeq and is a predicted model, not a curated record. NCBI's taxonomy places the organism in Eukaryota, Metazoa, Chordata, Mammalia, Primates, Cheirogaleidae.